Homo sapiens (human) is the source of this 413-nucleotide long non-coding RNA. NCBI's taxonomy places the organism in Eukaryota, Metazoa, Chordata, Mammalia, Primates, Hominidae. The record is from Ensembl.
GCAUCAUUCACUGACAGUUCCCUUCCAUAUCCCCUGGUCCCUACUGUUUCCAGUGUGGAUCAGCUAAUUUGCAACCACCACUAUCUGCAUCUGUGCCUACCUCAGGGUUCGCUCCAAAAUGCAGAAGACUGCUCUGCCUGUGGCAGGACAGAAGUGACAUUCCCUGGAGCAGCCCUCAACUCAUGGCUGCCAGGAGUUAGUGUAUAAAUUGCCCCAAAGCUCUCUAUAAAGUGGUUUUAUUUUUGAUGUCUCAUUUGACCUAUACAACAAUUCUGGAAGGAAGAAAGUUAUAUUAAACAAGGCCAACAGUGGAGUGUAAUCCCUGUAUUCUUUUUUGUUCUCUCAUCUAUCCCAAGAAUACUGCUCAGAAAAUUAUAGAUGCUCAAUAAAUAAUUGAUGAAUAAAGGAAGAAA